UUAGAAAAUAAGGCAAACACCCAGUUGUGCUUGAAAAGAAAAAAUACUGUCAAAUACCGUGAAACCGAUAUAAUUUAGAAAAAUACCGUGAUAUACAUUUUUGGUCAUACCGCCCAGCACUACUGAUCAAAAAGGUGGCC
Long non-coding RNA from Thalassophryne amazonica, 140 nucleotides. RefSeq lists it as uncharacterized. Lineage: Eukaryota; Metazoa; Chordata; Actinopteri; Batrachoidiformes; Batrachoididae. The record is from RefSeq and is a predicted model, not a curated record. The transcript has 3 exons.